Molecule: ribosomal RNA, 406 nt
Filed under: uncultured bacterium
Lineage: Bacteria
Description: partial 16S ribosomal RNA
Rfam family: Bacterial small subunit ribosomal RNA
Source: RNAcentral
AUUGAACGCUGGCGGAAGGCCUAACACAUGCAAGUCGAACGAGUGGCGGACGGGUGAGUAAUGUCUGGGAAACUACCCGAUGGAGGGGGAUAACUACUGGAAACGGUAGCUAAUACCGCAUCCCAUCGGAUGUGCCAAGAUGGGAUUAGCUAGUAGGUGGGGUAACGGCUCACCUGGGCGACGAUCCCUAGCUGGUCUGAGAGGAUGACGAGCCACACUGGAACUGAGAAACGGUACAGACUCAUAGGGGAGGCAGCAGUGGGGAAUAGUGCACAAGGGGCGCAAGACUGAUGAAGACAUGCCGAGUGUAUGAAGAAGGCCUUCGGGUUGUAAAGUACUUUCAGCGAGGAGGCGUUACUCGCAGAAGAAGCACCGGCUAACUCCGUGCCAGCAGCCGCGGUAAUUC